GUUUACUGAAUAGAAAUUUAGUCAAGAGCAUAAUACACUCAACUUUAAAUAGGCUUAACAGUGCUUUCGCCUCCUCUUGGGAAGUGCCCUGACCCUCAAACAUGACUCCUCACAUGACCGAGAGGAAGAUAAUAAUAAAGAAUUACACUUAGGGAGGGGGUCAAUACCUCUCCCUUGAACCUCUGACCAGAUGACAUAGUUUCCCACCUUCUGCAGACUCAGAGAACAAGUCCCCAAUAACAACCCCAUACAAUCCACAACAUAAAAGUCAGUACUUGAAGAUUCAGACAAGGGCCCUUUAGUUCAGCACAGUCAUCUCAAGGAGGAAGGAGCCAUGACAAUUCACAUAAGACUUCAGAAGAUCUCAGCUCUUUGCUAAGGCAACAUAUUCUAAAGCUCAGCUAGCAAGGCCCCUGGGAGCUGACCAGGGUCCUGCCCUGCCUAGAGACACCUGCCUGGACUUGUAUGGAUCUGUUUCUUGCUUCUCCUUCCUGUGAGUCCCCAAGCCCCAUAACAGGAUAGGAAGCAAAGAGAAUUCCCAAAAGCCUCACAAAAAUACGAUCCUCUGAUUUUGUUCAAGAACUCAAGGUAAGUGAACUGUAAUAAAAUCCUGUAUUAUGUUUGUAAUACAGAUAUUCUCUGUGAGAAAGAACAAAUGGAAUGAGAGCUUGAGACCAAAAAAGAUGAAAGGAAGUAGGGAGGAAAGUCUGAAUACAAAGUUUGAAGCCAAGACCAUUAUCCAUUGCUCUGCCUGAAUUUCUACCAGAUGUGAAUCUAACUCAUUUUCAUCAUUUAGCACCUGUAUUUUAAGGGAGUGAUGGCCUUGCCCACAGAUGUCUUCAAAAAGUAAGACUGAAAACUUGCCCCCAAUUGGAAAUGAGUUCCCAUGACAGCAGGGAAUCAGGAGUCUUCCAGGCGAGAACUGAAGAUGAAAGUUGAACCAAUAGUUCAAAAAGUUCAUAUUUUACAUCUUUUCAAUUUAACUUUUUUUUUUAAAGUAAUGCAUUUUAACAUGGAAAAUUCUCACUAUUAAAUAUCUAUACAGCAAGCUUUUGUGUGAAUUAUAUUUAAGCUGUUGUCAGGUGACAGAGUCAGGAGCAGAUCAGCAAUAAAACACCCAGUUAACUCUUUAUUCAAAUAAACCAAAACAGCGCAAGCCUAGUGAUCGCAGCAACUCUUCCCAGGAGAAAGUGCGAGGACCGACGGUCUCCAUCUUCCUACCACUAUAAGACUGCUCCCCCAGGUCCUUCCCCAGCACCUAGAGGUUCCUUCAUCUUGCCUCUCUUUGCUCUGCACUCUUAAUCCCUCUCCAUGCUCUGGGAGACUAGUGGGGAGGGGACCUGGUAACAGCAGAAUGGGGAGACUCUUUAGCAGCCUGGCUCUUUAGCAGCCUGCCCCCACUCCUAUCCAGCCUUCACUUCAGCCUCUGAUUUUGGACUGCCCUUUGCCACAGCCACUUCCUGCUCACUAAACCCUGUUACCUCUUCAGCUUCCAACACAUCCUCUACCCAGUCUGCUCCUUCUUCUCCCUCUAAUCACUCAUCAUUGUCCCACCAUCCAACUCCCCUCGGGGGUUCCCCAGCUGGUGCCUCCCACCACUGCUCUGCAUCCAGCCAGUCCAUGACAGCUGUAACAGGAAUGUUGAAUUUUACUAUAGGUGCAUGUGCACAUCCAUAAGCACCCCCACAUGCAUAUAUAUCUGCACACAUAUUUCCUGCCUUGAAGUAUUUAUAAUGGUCCAUAUAAAAUCUCAAUAAAAUUUAUGGGAUUUGAAGAAAACAACACCACAUUGUAUGUAGGCAGAGCAUAUAUCAAUCAUUUUCUUUGGGGAAAUUAUUAUUUUUGGGAAGUGGGUAUGCAACUUAUUUGUUUGAGACUCUGUUCUUGCACUAAUGAAGAACAACAUUCAGUAAGGAUAUCAACCCCAUUUUUAAAAUAAAGUUAUAUUUUCAGCAUGAACUGAUGAAUAAAAGCCCAGCCUAAGCCUACACUCUGUGUUUAUGGAAUUCUCCAAAAAAAAAGCUAGGCAUUUCCCAAAUGCUGUAUAGUGAAAGUAGAUAGCAUCAUGUGCCUUUGCUUAGAGAGGAAAUUUGGCACAGAUUUAGCAAAAUGAAGUGGUCAUUUUGAAAGGAAACCUACAAUGAGAAAGUUCAGCACCAUCCCAGCAACAGGCAAUAAGUCUAGAAAAAGAACCUGUGGAAUAUGUGUCUGUAUGUCAAAAUUGUCUCCAAACCCCAAUAAACACCAAUAAGCCCUAGUGAGAUAUUUUGUUCCUCAGAAUCUAUUUUGAAUGAAAAUGUGUACUUGAAAAAAGGCAAAUUUAGUAAAAGUAGUUAUGCUUGGAUGAUUCCAAAAGCCUUAAUCCAGCAGUUCAUGUUCUCAGUAGCUACCACCAUAAGCUUAACUUAGUGCUGUGAGACAUUUAUUGCUAUUACAUGUGAAUCAGGAGCUACACCACAAAUAGAUGGGUAUUUUUACACCAAAUGUACUGAAAAGUAGAGGGACAGUCUAUCAUUCACCCACCUUUGAUAGUGCACAUGGUAUUUCAGGGCAAGCUACAAGAUGCUCAAAAGGUAAGUAAUUCUCAUGUGAUCUUGAGUUGCUGCACAGGUAAGGAACCAAAUCCCCAUUUUUAUAGCUGUUGUGAAACCAACAACUGUGCACUUGCUGUGCACAUUUCUAAUGGCUAUGUGUUCAUUUGUCAGUCCUUUCCAUUAUCAGUACAGUAGCAACAGCAUGGGAUGCUAAACUCAUCUCUGUGUCUGCGACAUUUCAUUUCCUUGUGUUUUCUGAUUUAAAAGUGUUACAUACCACAUGGAAAUCUCAUUGAGCCGCCAGGAUUAUACUUGUGGAGGAGGCAAUUAAAAAAAAUGAAAUGAACUAUUUAAUCCUUUCUUUUUAAAAGCAUUUGCAUUAGUAUCAGCUUAACAGUAGUUAAAUAAAAGGAUUCUGAAAAACCAACAAUAAUUCUCAAACAGGAAAUACUUUCAAAGGGUACCAUUUAACAUUCUGAGGUGGGGGGUGCACAGUAACCAUAUCCCUAUGACAACACCAGAGAGGAUUUGUAUCUAACUGCAAGGAUCUAAUUUAUUUCUCAUAUAAUAAUAUCCAGUGGCCAUUGUGAACAUUUCAUUAUCAUGGAAAUUAAAGACAACACAAAGAAAUUAAUGUUUUAAGAGAAACCUAGCAUGGUCCAUUAAACUCUGCCUUUUAUUGUCUGUAUAACUGUAAUAAGAUACGUUUUCUCCCUUUCUGUAAUAUAUACACAUACAUUUCUGAAUAAUGGGAGUAACACUUUCCAUAAAUUACAUACGAAAGCUUUGAGGGCAAGCCACUAGCUCAGCACAACAGUCUUCAUAUUUCCAUAUAAAUGUACACUGUGUACUUUUUUCUUUUCUCGAUUGUCACACGCCCCAUAAAGCAAUACAAUUUAUCCCAGUAGAUGUUAACUCUUGCUAAUUUGUAACGAUCACAAAUCAUGGCUAAGUUGAACAAAGCGAGGAUUUUUUCCAUUAUUACCAGCAAGGGCCAACAGGAGUUGGCCUUCAGAAAGAGAUGGCAGUUGACUACAAGCCAGGAUAUGUAGUUAGACUACUAUCUUCUGUGGUUUGGGUUAGAAAGAACAGGGAGAAGUCCCAAUGCCCAGAUCAGGCUAAAGGCUUUAUAUGUGUGGCAGUAGAACUCCACAUCCAUGACCCUACUUGGAUAGGAAAUCUCCUGAACAAAAUUGAUGCGCCCAUGAUGAUGACAUUCUCCAACCUGAUCUAGCAACCUGGGGCUACACUUUCACACCCACACUUUUUCAAGAGGAGAAAUGUAAGGCCAUAUUUAGGUCUCCCUUACUUUACUUUCUCUUCCCUGCCAAGCAGGUGAUUGGUAUGAUUAAGCUUAUUUUUACAGGGAGGCUAGGCAUGCAACCUUUGCUGCUGUGCAAGCACUGAAUUAGAUCGGUGCCUACACUGUCAGGUUAAUUUUCCUGAAUAUUUGACACUGGAUCUUUGGCGUUUGAAAUGUCUUUCCUUCUAUGGUUUGAACAGAGGCACGUUCUUUGUGACACAAUACUUUUAUCUCAUUAAACCAGAACUUUUAUGGUCUCUGUCCAGUGGCUCUGACCACAAAGCGCCACUGUUUAGCUCGUUAACCAAGGAAUGUACAGUGGAAUGCACAAAAUUGGUGUGCUCACUCUUGUCAUGCCAAACAGCAGUAGCCUGUCUACUCCCAUGUUAUCCGCAGGGGAGAAAUAUUUCAUUCCAAUACUGUUCCUACAUUGUAAUUUGAGUGGAGAGUUAUCUAGCCCCAUUCAUUUUUGUUUGUCCCCAUUCCGAAAAGUACAUACAGUAGGAGCUAUCCCAGAACACCUUUCAGAAAAGCGUAUGAAGAUUCUAACUACAAUUUCUAUCCAAGAAGAUGGAAGUAGUUUUCCCCCUUUCCCUCUGGGCACUUGGGAUAAAGCUGCUGUUAAUGGUGAGGAAGAGGAGAAGCAGGACCAGGGAACUCUGGGAUUCAGCAAUGUCUCAGCAGAUGCUCAAACAUCCAGUCCUGCCAGAGGAUAACUACCACAUGCCUAGAAAAAGGAUUUGGGACCUAUUUUAGCCAGGAGGCACAUGUUGGUGCUGGAUGGAACCACAAGCAUAAGUGGCAGAAAAAUUAUUGUAGAUUUUACCUUUGCACUGAAGGCUACUUUCUAUACACACAUACCUCUUUCCUGUAUCCAGGCAAUCAAAAAGCAUUACCAGAGUUCAAGGACACAUUCAUGUCAGGCAGCAUGUGAAGCAAGGCCAGUGAAGGAUGCAACCUGGGGGGAGAGGGUGUGGAUAAGGAGUGUGUGUGCCUGGAGAGAGCCAAAUAGAGAGGAUUGGAGGGUUGCAUUUUGCUACAGUGCUGAAGUUCCCUGCCCCUGGACUAAAACAUAGUGCAAUUGACAAAUAAUACUUAUUUCUGUUAAAGAAGAGGAAAUAGACCAGCUAUGCAGAUCACAAGUUAAAAGCCUUUCAGUUUUACAGUGUAGACAAUAGGUGCCAAGUCUAAUAGCCAUUUCUGCUUCUAAUUGCCAACCUUUGAAGACAGUUUAGAAAUUGUAGCUGGUGCAGAAUUAAAUGACCAGAUUGCUGAUCAGGGCAAGACAGUCUGAACAUAUAACAACAAUCCUGGCAUGACUUCAUGGGCUGACAAUUAGUUUCUGGGUCCAAUUAAACUGCUGCUUUUGACCUAUAAAGCCUUAUGCUGCUCAGGACCCUAAUAUCUCAAGGACUGUGUCACCCAACAUCAACCAAUUCAAAUCCAGCAGUCAUCAUCUGAGGCCCUUAUCUGUGUUCCCCCUCGGAAUGAGAUGUAGAGGGCAGCAACAUGAGAACCAGCCUUCUCAGUAGUUAGUGCCUUCCCAAUUGCAGAAGGACCUCCCCAGGGAUGCACAUUGAGCACCAUAAGUAUCUGUUUUAGGUACCUUAAUUUUCUGCUUAUCUCUUUAGUGGGGUGGGUUGUGUCUGAUCUGUUCUUUUAUGCUUAUCACCAGUGAGCAUUUUAGUUGUUUUUACUUGUUUUUCUUUUCUUUUCUGGAAGCUACUUUCGAGUCACUUUUAUGAAAAAUAGUGAAUUAUGAUUACUACUACUCAGAAAAUAGGAAAGACUUGCCAAGCUUUUGUAAACACAUCAUCUUCUAAAUUAUUUUCUAAAAUCAACUAUGAUAUCAAUUUGUAGUAACUUAAUUAAGAUAUCAGAACACUGAAAACAGCUUUAUCUGAUGGCAUUUUGGCUUGUUCUGCUUAAGGACAGAGACCUUCAUCAGUGUUUAUUUGAAGAUUAUAAUAAGUGAUGUAGAUGACUCAUUCUCAUCAUCAUGUUAGAAUCAAUCCAAACACUGGAUGUCUGGGCUGGAAAGGCAUGCAGAAUAUGCAAGCAUCUGUUAAGCCACAAAGAAAGUUUGGAAGAUGGAAAGAAAGAAAAAGGCCUUGAUCUAUCCUUUGAUUGCACAGGACAAGCUUUUCAUUAACUUGAUAAAUGCUUUCUCACAGACUCUUUCUGUGACACCGCACAGCCUCUUCUUAUUUUGCAAAACCAUUCCUAAAUAGUAAUAAUUUCUAGAGUGCUUCCUGUGCUGAUCUCAUUCCUCUGGCUAUGAAAACUUGAGUUCUCUGAACUAGUCUUGCAACUUCAUGCUGCCUCCUCAAUGACGUUAUUGCCCAUGAAGGAACAGUGUGUGGAUAGUGGUGGCUGAUACUCUCACUUAAGUGCUACAAUAUCAACACUGAACAGAGAGGAACAAAUCAAUUCAACAGAGGCCCCUGUAGGGCUGAGACUGGAGUGUAAAGUUUCAAGAGAACAACAGGUUCAAAUUGCACAUUAUGCUUAAUGUGUAGCAAAGUUUCUUAUGUUUCUUUAAUGAAUUACAAUGGAGAGGAUUCUUAAAGAAAUCAUCACAUGUAGAAAGGAAGGUUUAUCACUUCCAUCCCCAGAUGCGACCUCCUGAAUAUUGCCCCCUCCCCCAGUUUGGGGGGAGUUUCUACUGGUGCUAUUUUCUUAUUCUAAACCUGGUAGCUGCAGUUGGAGGAGGAAGGGGCUCCAUGCACUGUGAUUCUAAUUAGCAAUCUCUCCCCGUGCUUGUCAUAAAUUAAUUAAAGAAAAACAAGAGACAGAGCUGCAUGCUAUAUAUUAAGCUAACAUGCAGUUUGGCACUGAAGAUUCCAGACUGGAAAGAACACUGGACCCUCCAACACCUCAAAGACUAUUGUUGUAUAAAACAUACACUCUCCAGCACCAUCCUAGGACUAUUAGUAUUUGUAUGGUGCUUACAGCUACAUACCGAUUUUUUGAAACUGCCUUUUUUAUUGUGUCUAAGAACUCUGGCAAUGGUCUGUCCUAGCAUUGUUACCUCUUUUAAGUUGUCUGAACCUGGUACCUCCUGUGUAGACAGUGCAUGCUUAACUUUUAAGUCACAGCCCUUCCACAGAGGGAGGAAGAAAUAGAGUUAUACUUGGAGAACUUGCAGUUCUUUGACAAAAUGCUACCCAUUCAUUAAAUGCAACAAAUAUGGGAUUCCAUUUAUUUCCAGAAUCUAGCAACUCACCUAUCUUCAGCCUCAAUCUAUGGCAUCAAUAACAUUUUCCUUUUGUUCACAAGUAGGUUGAUGUCCCAGUUAAGCAUGGUUACAGAAGCUCCAGGUAUUCAAAACAGACUAAGCCCCAAUUUUUUUCCAAAACAGCCGAAUACACACCACCACUAUUGUUUGGUCCUAAAUAUCUGAGCCCUGAAAUCUAAUGCCUUUGUGUUGGACAUACUAGAGCUGCUGAUGGUGUAAUAUUUUUGAGUAACCAGCUGGCUGAGCAGCCCACCUUCCAUAUUCUUAAAGAUCCAUUUCUGAGACCAAUACACUAGAUGUGUGGGUUACUUAAAUCAGGACAAGUAUUACAUUUACCACGCUAAAACUCCAGAACAGAGAGCUGUACAUAAAAAUACUGAUUUGUUUUACUGCCCUGAUUUCAUUCUUCUUCUAAUUAGUGAAGUAACCUUGUGUUGUUAGUUACAAUUAUCAUUCCCAUUUUACGAUGCAAGGUCUUCGGGUAGAAGACAAGUGAUUUGUCCAAGGCCACCUCAUGUGUCCAUGUAAAGACUAAAUAUGUUCAUUCUAGGCCAAAGUCCAACAUUGGCCUAGGAAUUCUAGGCCAAAGUCCAACAUUCUGCUUGUAUCUCUCUAACUUUUAAAGGAUACUUUAGGUUCAGUAAAAAGUAGAGGAAAACUUCACUGUAUUAACACCUAUGGCUGUGUUUCAUCUUAUUGUGCAUUAACAGUUGAAAACUAGAGUUUGCAGACUGACAAAUCCUGAAGAAAGUGUAACUAAACCUGUCAAACAAAAAUGUCAUCUUAUAUAUUGAUAUGACUAAGUACUGCCUAUCAGCAAAUGGAAUUUCCAACAGACUGCCUUGUGACAUUUCCUAUUUCUUCAUGCAUUUUGCUCCUGUGGCUCUUGCUAUGACUGAAAGCAGCAGGGUGAUCGUCUCCGCAGUGGGAAGUGAAGCACCUGCUGCUGAGAGUAAUGAUUGUGUCUUUACUAAAUCUUGGAUCUAUUUAUGUGCAUUUGACCACUUAGAUAUAUUAACAGCAAGCUCUCCAUAGGUUAAGUAGUUAAAUACUUUGGAACACCAGCUGAGAAGCUGGUAGAUGUCACCUUCAGUGUCUAUUGGGGCCAAGAAUAACUGACAAAUCAAGACGGCCCUUCCAUUAAAUAUGGCAAACCAAUCAAAAGAAAAAUGAUGACCUUUUAGCCACAUUGCUUCAUGGGAAGAAGAAAAAACAAACUUUCCAUCUGCUAAUGAAGUAAAAAAAAAAAGUGAACUAAACAUUGUUAAUUGCUGUAGGCUGCAAUUACUCCCAACACCUUCCUCAACAAUUCUUUUAAAUGGUCUCACUGGGAUAAAUAAAUAAAAAAUCUGUAUUUACCUGACCAUUAUUAACUAGUUCCUGCAGUUAUUUCAAAGAUGGUGUUCUUAGUCUACACCAGGCAUGUCCAACAGGUAGAUCGCGAUCUACCGGUAGAUCACUGGACGUCUGUGGUAGAUCACAAAGCUCAACAAUUUGGCUGUCAAUAACAGGGUAGAUCACAGCCAGUAUUUUUAUACUGUGAGUAGAUCACAGUCUCUUGGGAGUUGGACAUGCCUGGUCUACACUAUCUCUCACAAUGUUAUGGAGUGGGGCCUCGAGCCUGAUUCUGGCUCACUAUUGUCUACACAGACUGGCAAUGGCUCUCCAGGGUUUCAGACAGGUAGUCUUCCGCUGAACUAACUAGAGAUAUGGAAGACUGAACCUGGGAUGUUGAGCUACAGCCCUUCCCCAAAGCUUUGCUCUUAAUGUCAAGGCCUUCUGAUGUCAGGGUCUGAUGUCACAAUGCUAAUUACAGACAAUAAAAUACUGGAAAUUAUGCUACAUCACUAGCACCUUUGAGGCAGAGAGGACAUGUUACAAUAAUAAGUUUUGGCGUGCUUUGAGGGUGGUUUCCCAGCCUCUUGCAACAGUGUUGUGUAGUCAGUUACCUUGAUGAGAGUUCUAGCUGCCUGCACAGUGGCUCCUUUUUAAAAGCAUGUGCUGACCAUCCCAUUUCUAGACACCAGACAGAAAGUGUAAUUGUCUUUCUCAUAAUAAGUUUAUAGAAAAUAGAGAUGAUUCAGCUGGGAGUGGAUUUACAUAAAUAAAACAGACAUAGAACAACCUGCCCUGGGGCAAAGAAUUGAUUCAGUUACAAACUGGGGCAGUGGGGGGGUACAUUUAGUUUUUCAGUCUCUUUCUAGUUGAUGGGCAACCCAAAGCAUCCUGAAUGCUGGUGUCAGAAGUAGAGAGAGGCAAGGAAACUAAAACCUAAUCCCAGCGAGAUGGAAACGCUGCUAGUUGGUGAGCCCUAUGGUGUGGGUAGAGACUUACACAUCUAUGCUGGAUGAGGUUGCACUCCUCUACCACUCCCAAAAAGUAUGUUUGCAGCUUGUGGCUAAUUCUGGAUCUAGUACUUUUGGAUAAACAGGCAGCAAUAGACAGAGGUGCCUUAAACUAGCAUGUUGGUUCACCAGGUGUGGGUCUUUCUAGGGAACUUGGAGUUAGCCACAGUUAUUAUUCCCCUUGAAAUAACUUACAUUUCUAUAAUAUCUAGACAUGCAGCUUCCCUUGAAGACCAUCCAGAAACUUCAACUAGUCCAAAAAUAAUAAUCCCCAGGAGUAGAAGACAUCUGAAGGCAGCCUUGCAUUGGGAAGUUUUGAAUGCUUGAUGUUUUACUGUGUUUUUAUAUAUGCUGUAAGCCGCCCAGAGUGGCUGCGGAAACCCAGCCAGAUGGGUGGGGUAUAAAUAAUUUAUUUAUUUAUUUAUUUAUUAUUUUUACCACACAUACAAGACAUUUGAAAUCUUAACUGACUAUUUAUCCAUGCUCUGGCAGAAUUCAAGGUGCUAGCAUUAACCUUUAAAGCUUUUAGUGGCCCAGGAACAACACACCCUAAGAACAUCCUUUUCUCAUAUAAAUAAAUACUUUUUUUUUUUUUUAAAGUAACUUUAACUUGAUCUGUGCUUGACUAUUGUGUAUUUUGUGAAACAUGUCACUUAGCUGUACAUAUCAGGCUUAGCAGCCUGCAAUUUUUACAACCUUUAUUAUAGGUUAUGGAGGGAAAUAUGACUUACUAUGAUGUACAGGGAAUGUUUAACUUUAUACCACUUAAGUGUAACUAAAUAAACCCCUUCAAAGAUGAGUCCUGUCUCACACUUGACUGCAAAUGAAGGACAUCAUUUAUCCUCUGGAGCCAAUCUGUCUCACUAAAGAUAUAUUUAAGUGCAGAAGAUACAAUGCCAUCACGCUUUUCUUUUCUUUGCAAAGAAUGACAUGUAAGGGGAUAAUUUGUUACUCAUAGGGUUUAAAGAGCAAAUUGGAGUAGUCAACAUAAUUAUUGCCUUGCUCUUUAAAAAAAAUGACAAUGCAGUCCUCUUUAGAUCAUUUUGCAUGAACUUAUUCUGUGAAGCCCAAUGGAUUGAAACAAAAAUAAUGGGCAAGGUAAUGCUUACUCUGUGGUUAGAAUAAAGAUCUGCACUAAUGUAAUCCGAGGAAACCUUGCCUUCUGAGAUUCAAAUAAGUUAUGAUUAAGCAGAUUUGCCAAUAUCUGGAUAUUUUGCACAAUUGAUUCUUCUUCUGAAAUGCUUGAGUGUAGCACUGUGUAAGGUGCUGUGUGAGUGCAAGAGAGAGAUACAAACUGAGGCUCCAGCCCUGACCUCCUGAAAUUCUAGAUCCAUAUUGCUUCUAUGUUGCUUCUGGAUUGGACUUCCUUAGGGUUGUCAUUUAGCCUGUUAUAAAGACUUCCGGGUUGGCGCCUCUGGCAAUGGCAGAUUUCCUCCGAUUGGGAGGAAUCCGCUCCGUGGAAAACAGGGUCUGAACCGCCACGGCGAGGCGGAGACCCAUCAAAAACCACAGGCGGGAGAAGCCUGUGGACGUGGGAUUCGGCUGGCACCCCUACUCGCGGGGAAACCCUGUUUUGGGGAUCCGGAGCGACGUGGGGUGAGUGGCGCGGUGCUUUGAAUCGACUGCUUCUUUCACGGAGUGAAGCCGCAUUGCUGUUGCCAGAGAGCGCUGACUUUUCCUGUGGACAAUUGGAUUUUAAACAACUGCCCGUGAGUAGAACGGAAAAUUGGACUAUGAAAUUUCUUAAUUUGGCACCGAAGCGGGAAGGUCUAAACAGGAAGUCCGCCUUCCGCUUUUGUAGAUAGAUUGAAGCAAAGACAUGGCAAGCUAGAGCUUAGAAAGUCGUCUGUAAAGGAUCAAAUUUUCAUCAUUUAAAAUUACUGAACCCCCCUUGGAAGCAGGAGAAGAGGGGGGAACUUUUUUUUUUUAAGACUGUUUAAACCUGCAGAAGAGAGAGUAAAGAAAGGUAAUUUUCCACCGUCUUGAACCUGGGAGUGGGGUGUCAGGACAGAAGUUUUGGGGAAGUUCAUUGACUAUGGACAAACGUUUUUGACAGAUAGUUAAGAAGAGAAACAUAUUGACUCCAUUGUUCCCUUUCGCAUUUAAAAGGAACAAAAUAUCGACAAAAUACCCGAAAAAGGAAACUUUGUUGCUAGAUCUGCUUUUUUAAAAAAAAAGAUGGAUACAAAUAGAAAUUGUUUCCCCUAGAGGGAGCUUGUGAAACUGUUAUUAAAGUUGAACUGGGGAGCGCUGCAGCUGUAAAGAUUAAAGAUCGUGGGACCAGACUUCGACCUUGAACAAGAAUGUGCUCAGAGGCUCUGGUGCUUGCCUUUUGCAAGACAAGUGCUUUAUUGGAACAGUUACACGAGAAGAUGGAUUUGAUGACUGUUGCGAUUGGAAAUUUUGGACAGGCAGUGGGUACCUAUAUAGAACCCACUCAGGAAUUAAUCCAGGGAUGUGCUUUGACAGAUCAGAUGAGGGAGGAGGUUGUUGCUGGACCUCGGGUGGCAGAGAUGGAGGGAGCUGUGGCCCAGCAGGAACAUGAGUUAUUGGAUUUGAUGAACGAACCUGGAAAAAGUCAGAUUCGGAGAGAUGGAGUUCUGUUUGGCUUGGAGAUGGGGGGCUGGAUAGACCCCCCUAUGCAGGGAUGUUUUGACCUUUCAAGUCUGGCUUUGCGCCGGGGGGAGCUCGGAAUUGUAGGGGCCCUUAACUUUGGAGGGACCUUGAAACAUGCCUUUAAAUACCACAUGGAUUUCAGUGUUGACUAUGGAAAAGGGGCUGACUUGCCGAGAAGGGACAAAAAUAUUGUCAAGCUGGAGUCUCCCCGAGUGAAAGGAGCAGAAGACAAAGCAAAGUACAGGUAUAAACAUGAAGAAGACCUGCGAAAGGGACAUGGAAAAGACUUAAGAGCCUCGGAUAUAAGGUCACCAGGUUGAUGGACUAGAUGGAUGGGAUAGAAAGGACUAACAAAACCCGAGACCAGGAAGAAGAGACGAUGGAUGAAGAUUGGAAGAAAGUUUUAAAAAUUUAUUUAGAAAAGUAUCGUAAAAUUAAUGAGUAUUAGAAAAAUGUUGGAAUGAAAUUAUUUGGCUUUAGCAGAAAUGUUAAAAAGAAUUAUGUAAGAAUAUGUUAUGGUUAAAAGAAUUUGGUAUAAAUAAGAUUUAAGUUUUAAGUUUUAGGGUUUUUAUGGUAAGAUAAGGUUAAAAUAGAUUAAGGUAAUUUAAUGACAGAAUAUUGUGAAAGAUGGAAAGGAUUUGCUGAGAUAAUUAACAACUAGAAUACAAAAAAGGGAGGUGUGAGGAGGUCGAUGAAAUAAGUUAAUGAAAGUUAAGGAUUUGGGAAUAUUGGAUUUGUUUUUAAAUUUUUUGUUUAUUUUUGCUUUUUGAUUUUGAUGCAUUGUGUGUUUUGUUUUUUUCUUUUUGACUUUGGUUUUUGAUUUGUAUUGUUUAAUUGUUACUUUUAUCUACUUUUUUCUUUCUUUUACUCUUUCUCUUGUUUUUUCCUUCUUUUUUCUGUGUCAUUUUAAAAUUCUCAAUAAAUAUCUUUUUUUUUUAAAAAAUUAGCCUGUUAUACACAACUUCCUGCCUACUCUGGAUUAUUCUACUUGCUUCUGGCCCUUCUGAACUUCAGCUGCUGUUUUUGGAACUCAACUCCUUGCUUGUCUUGGAUAAUACUCCUAACUUGUUCAGGUUGACAGCUUGCUCCCCAGAGCCUGAAAACUGAACUACUGCUGCCCAGUACUACCAGAACCCAAGUUUUUAUAGGCCUCCCUGUGAUUAAAAUGUAUCAUAAUUAUUAGUAUAUACCAUCCCUAGUGGAACAUACCAACUAGUAUUAACAUCUCCUGCAUAACCGAAGUAGUAGAGCCAUUUAUUGUUGUUUAGAAUAAGUCAUCACAGCUAGACAUAGUCAAUACACAAUUUUAAUGUUUCUUAAAGUUGUGUUUUAAAACUGCUAUCGUGAGUUUUAUGGCAAUAAAAAUAAAUAUGCUGCUCUACUUGUGAGUCAUAAAUAAUACUUGGCUGUGGUCACAGAGACCAUGGGAAUUCUGCAUUCUGAAACCAAAUGUCUGUAACACUUGACAUUUCUGGAUGUCUGCAUCUGUUUACAUGAGGAGUGUAGUAAGCAGUUGAAAAAAAACUCACUGGGAGUUUUCAGAGCCAUCCAAGACAGCAAUAAACAGCAAGCACCAAGAUCCGCAGCUUUAAAUUAAAACCUUUUGAAGGGCUUUUCAUUACUCCAAGGGUCAGUGAAAUGGAAGCAAAUUCACUCAAGUUUUCCUAUGAACCCAUAAAGCCCGUUGUCAAGGGUAUAUUUUGUGUGCAUUUUUUAAGUGCUUUCCUGAUCAAUCGACCAAUCAAUUUAUUGAACCAGUCAGCAGACCUCACAAUGAAAUUUAUACGUUCAUUAUCACAGAAGAUAUCACAUGUUCUUAUAACUUUAUUGACAGUUUGCUGAAUAUGAAUUUGCUUUGACUAUUGAAUUCACCCACUUCAAGGCAUACUGCAGUUGUAAUAAACAGACACAUCAAAACUAAUUUGUGAAACCAACAAGUUAUGUAGCACUGCUUAUUUUAUCUUUUAUCAAAAGAGCUUGCAUGGAUAGCAGUAUGCUCAGAAGAUUUGUCAAAAUAGUUGCAAUUCUAUUUAGAACACUGAUCCAUUGGCUGCUAUCAGCUGGAAAUGGGGCUCUGGAGAUUCUCUAGGAAAAUCACUACAUUAGGGCCAAACUAGAUGUCACACAGUCUCUCACCUUAUUGUAAAUAAAAAGCAAGGAGCUGCCAAUAUGAAUGGAGCAACAGCAUGAGGGACUUCCCAACCUUUCCCUUUUUUUGGAAUUAUACUGCUCAAACAUGGCCCUCUCAAGUGGCUUUACCAUUUUUGAGCAAAAAUAUAUUUGACACUGGCUACCAGAAAGAAUAUCGUGGAUCCAUUUUGGUUCUAUUUAGAGUGAGGAGAGCACACACCUGUAAAUCCAAACAGCAUUGUACAGGCAGUGUGUCCUGCUGUGUCUUUAGCAAGAACCCAUGAAGCAAGGCAACCAGUGUCUCAGCACUUUAGAUAGCUCCAGUGUUCAGAUGAAAGCAAGAAUUCGGCUGAGGCUUCAUAACUCCUGCAGUCCAGAUUACCUCUCCUAAUCUCCAUCCCUUCCCCACCUGUUCUCUUAGGUCAGCUUCCUGGACACAAUGGGAGUGGCCCUCCUCUCAUGAAUUCUUGCCUGGUGCAAUCCCUACAUUGCUGGGCAGGGGCUUGGAGCAGGAGGUGCUUGGCUCUUUGGGUGACUUAAGCUUAUUGAUGAGGGUAUUGGGUCUACAGCUCCAUGGAUGUCAGGUGGGCCAAAUAAUUGAUUAGUCCUCAGAUUUAUCCAACCCUCCCCAGCAAAUGCUCCAACCAGGCAUAAACCAAAGGAACAGUUUCUUCCUUGGAAAUGGUUCAAUGAGUAAUACAUAUUGACCCUUUCCUUCAUUUAACUCCCUUUUAAUGGCAUGAAAUUAAUUCAUUGUACUAAAUGACAAAAACAUGGUCAUUAUAUAAUCCUUUCACUUACAUUAGAGGGCUGCUUAAGUCAAACCUCAAGUUCCAUAAUCAAGUUCUAAGUUCAGUCAGUGGUGGUCUAGGAUUGUACAGCUAGUCAAUGGUACAGAAGCAGAGGAGAGUGAAAAGCGUCAUCAGCAGGAGCAGAAGUGGGACUGUCACAGUCUCUUUUAAAGGUACAUAAACACGUCACAACAAAAUGUCACAGUGAUCACUUUUAUCAUUCUUUAACUUUAUAGCUAGGAAUCAGUCUGAUAUUUCAUAAAUGUCAUCAUCAAAAUGCAAUUUAUAUGUAAAAUGAUAAAGACUUUUAUUUUUAAAGAAAAAAGUGACUAUUUGCUAAAUGGCUAGAAAUGACUCCAAACAGCAUGCAGCUGCAUGUAACAAACUCCAUUAUUACUCCUACAAUAUAGUCCUCGGAGACAGUUUUCUGAUGUAUGAAUGGAGCUGCUUUUGUUAUCUUUCUGGGCUAUUGAUAAGUUUGCACUUAACAAAAGCAACUUGCUGGUCACAAUUGUUGAGCUAUUGAUUUUUCUCAGCUACUUCUGCAUUACCUUUGUUUCCUUUACUCUGCAAAUAGUGAUCCCUGUGGUGAAAUAGCAUUAGAGGGGCAGUAUGAUAAACUCUAUUGUUGCUGAAUGUCUCCCUUUGAAAAUUUCCACUGGGAUGGUGAUGGCACUUGCUCAUUGCUCUGUACACUUCCAAUAAUCUUACCCAUUGAACACCAUCUAUUUUCUUGCUCAGAUAGAUGCAGGACUUGAGAUUCUGAACAAAGUAAAAUGCCAUCCCGGCAGCAUGGAACACAAAAGGGACUAUAAUUGCAGGAGCCUUUACAUUCAUACUACAAGAGAAUGAGAAAGUGUAUCAUGUCUGUGUUCCUAUUGUUCAGUCAUGCACAAUGAAUAUAUUUAUCACUCUGUGAUUUUUCCAGAUAGUCUGGGGGUAGGGGGAACUACAACCUUCAGAGCAACAAAAUCGUAUCAGAAAGCCAAACCUCAAUUUUCUGUCUAACAAGCAGUCAUCUAGCUAAUCCAUGUAAAAUAAAAACAAAUGUCAAAUAUAUUUUUGUGCCUGUUGCAUCAAAGGGCACAGAUACUUGCUUAUAACAUUCAGAAAUAAAAUUAGCAAGUUUAUACAAUCAAGAUUCAGAGCAUCAUUUCAGAAUUAUUAUUCUAUGGUUACUACCCUUAGAAAUAUGCUUUGCCAAAAAAAAGGGGUCUUAUUUGUUUUAACAGAACCCUUUUUUGUAAUGCAAACUGCAGACACGGUUUAAAAUUUAAAGGUUUAAAGUUGCCCCUUCACAUGCUGGAGUCCUAAUCCAGAUCAUGAGCCCCAUAUUGUAAAUUUGGAAAGAAAACAUAACCCUGCAUUGAAGGGAUGACCUACUUAGGAUAAUAGAAUUGUAGAACUGGAAGGGACCCCAAGGGUCAUAUAGUCCAACCCUCUGCAAUGCAGGAAUCCUGCUCACAGCUGCUCCUUGGGGGGCUCCAACCAACAAUCUUCUGGCUAACAGCCAGAUGCACUGAUCCAUUGCACCACAGGAGGAUUAACAUUAUGUGCACUUUGGAACUCAGGGCUAGUUGAUGACUGCUACUCCUAAUGUGCAAAUAGACUAGAGCAUCACAGAAAUGAGAGUACAGACAGAACUUUCAUGUUAUCUUAGAUCAUUUGAAACACAGCACUUUUCAAAGGAGACUGUUCACUUCCUCGGCUGUAGAGUGCUCAAGGAGCAGAUAAGCUGAGGAUGGUGUUCUUCUGAUGGAAGGCAUCCAUGGAAAACUGCCUCCCACCCCAAACCACUGGUGGAUGUCUUCCCUCAAUAAAAGGACACUAACAGAACAUUUACAUAUAUGUGAUGACUAAAUCUGCAUAAAAUAAAGAAUCCCAGAGUUUCCAAUCUUAUACAGUGGUACCUCAGCUUACAAACGCUUUGGGUUACAAACACUUGGGGUUACAAACUCUGCUAACCUGGAAGUAGUACCUCAGGCUGAGAACUUUGCCCCAGGAUGAGAACGGAAAUUGUGCACUGGUGGCGCAGCGGCAGCAGGAGGCCCCAUUAGCUAAAGUGCGCCUCAGCUUAAGAACGGUUUCGGGUUAAGAAUGGACCUCCGGAAUGAAUUAAGUUCGUAACCCGAGGUACCACUGUACUCUUCUAGGCUAUGAUGAGCCACAGUAUUUUUGUUUCUUUGAAACCAUUUGAAUUUGACAGAGGAGUGAAAAUAAAACAAACUCACUAUGAAAAGAUAGAUCUUGGAUUCCCAUAUUCUUUUAUCAGUGCUCAAAUGUUUUACUAUAAAUAUAUUCGUGCAAUGUUGUAACAUUUAACUGAUACUCCAGAUCUUUAUCUCCAUCAAACUCCAGACUAAGAGAUCAAACACAUUUAACCUAUUCAGAAACAAAGUUACAAUAAAAGCUACAAGUUUAAGUGAUGUUACAAAUGCAAACCAGAUAUGAAAACUCUGGACAAGUCCUAUAGCUGUAUGGUACACUUAGGGGUGGCUCUUUAAUAGCUCCAGUAAGUAUGAUGCACACAUAUCAGAGCAUUGUCUGAAUUGUGAUCUCUUAUAAUGCACAGAUGAGCCAAAGCCUGCUCUGAUGUAAUAUCUUUUUCAUUUGCCAUUAUGUGCAGAGAACAAUCCAUCAAAAGUUAGUAGUGACAGUCAAAAUAAUGUCCCACUAAAAUCAAUGAAACUUAAGAUAGCAGUAAAUAAGACCUAUUUCAUUGUUUUCUCUGAGAGUUAUACAUGACAGGAGAAGUAUUGCAACCACUAACGGCAUAGGGAAGUGACCAGAGCCCGUGCUCUAUAACUAAGCCAUGGCCCUUCCACGAUGCUGCAAAGUACCUUUUCGCCUAACUCAUCUCAGUAAACGUACGCUCCUUUGAAUCCUAGAGCCCAAAUGGCAUCACUAAGCAUCUAUUGUAACUUAAUCUAUUAACAGACAUAAAUGAACCUAAGUAAGAUUUGGGAUAAAAAGGCACCCCAUGUAAAAUAUUCAUAUAGACAUUUAUGGCUGGGUGGCAUUCAAUCCUGUGCUAAGAGGGGUUUGCACAUGGGGAAUGUGGUCUGCUUGUGUGGUGGGACUUUAUCUCUUCUCCCCCACACCCUGGACCAGCUAAACCAGUUCUGGGUUUUUCCCCAACUUGCCAGAACAAAUUUAGGGGCCACGGUGAGAAGGGCGAAAGUCUUACUGCAUGAGCAGACUUCAUUCUCUGCACACAACAAAUUAGUUGAAUCCUCCCUGAUAUAUGUUGCUCAAUAUGCACACCAUAAUCACACACACCCUAUAAUGAGAUAAAAUUUGCAUCUACUUAUUAAUUUUGGCUAUCAAUACUGUAAUAAAAUACAAUUGAGAACAUUCAUAUCAGGAUAAAUAAUAACAUUAAAAUGUAUCUAUGGGUCGUCAGGCCAUGGGAAUGGGUCAACAGCCUGAACCAGUUAUUACUUCCGUAGGUAUGUUUACAUUUGGUUUAUUGUACUUGGCUUGAUUUUCAGAGACUAAGAAAAACUCUUCCAACAUGAGGAUAACGACAAGUAAGCUGACAUGGAUUGGCCACAGAAAUAGCAAUGUCAUCUGCACACAUGGAUUGUUUAUGACUCUGGAAUGUGUCACCAUGCCUUUUAUAUCUAGUUUCUCAUAGGCAUCUGGUUGGCCACUGUGAGAACAGGAUGCAGGGCUGAUCCAGCAGGUUUCUUCUAAUGUUCUUAGAUUGUCUCAUGAUGCAGUUGGCAAGCAUUCUGCUGCCAAUAGCAAAAAAUAAGGAUGAAAGAGACAGCUCAGUGAAGUGUCACAGUAUGAGAGAAAAAUGAUUGUUACUUAACAGAGAAGCACAAGUUUCAUUGGCCCAAAAUUCAUUAAAAGCAACAGGGAUUUCAAAAAUCUCCAAUUUCAUAUGUUUUUCCCAUACCUCUAAGAUGACUGAUACAGUCCUUUAGCCACACUGAUAACAUAAACGGUUGUCCUCACACUAUUGGACACUGUUCUUUCGGUAAUAAAUCUUGUUGGAUCUGGAUAGCUGAAAUAAGACUGCGGGAAUUUCUAUAGUUUGUGCUCUUAAAUAUCACUCUAAACAAAACAAACCUUGAAAAUUUCAGAACAGUUUGGAUUCUGCAGGCACGUGUGCAGACAUUGCCGUAAACCUUGUUUUCCCCUCUUUCCCUUACAGUCCAUGCAUAGGCACAGGUUCAUGACCUCUGUUUGGUUAAGGAACAUUAUACUGAGUUCCAGGACAGUGACAAGAGGGUAGGGAUAUAGGAGGCAUGCACAGGUCUCCCAAUGCCCACCAUGGUCUGGUGCAGCGACCAAGUUUUUAAAGUUCUAUAUAAGUUGCAUAUUAUUAUGUUUAUUAUAUUGUAGUUCACUCUGGGAUUUCUUUUUUAAAUGAAGAACAAUUUAGAAAUCUUCUAAAUAAAUAAAUAAAUAAUUUCAAGUUAGAUAUUUGUGUGUGUGAGAGAGAGAGGCAACUGAUCAAACAGAGAAAUUGCAUGAAAUGCUAUGAAUAAAUUUUAUAGUGUUAUUUUCCCCCAAUUCUACCUUAUCCCAAAAAUGAACCAUGAUAAUUAGCAGAUCAGUUGCUUCAGCGAAAGCUCAUGCACUUAAUCUUUUAUUCUUGCAUUGGGAAACUUCAUUUCUAUAUCAAAAGUCACAUAGAACAUGGAAAUAAUAAAGUCUAAGAAUAUAAUGGGAGAAAUCAUUAUAUUUGUGUUUCUAUAUUCCCUUAAUAUGACAUUUACAGAACUAACCAUUACCUAGGGCCAAACUGUGCCUUUGCAUACUUGUGCACAGCUCUUCUUGAAUUUAAUGGGAUUUGAAUGCAAGUAUCUCAGAGAUGCUUGGUCCUCUGGUUUCUACAGGAAAAUAGAAUUUUAAGGUCAAGUAAAGGUCAAAGUGACACUGUCACCAAUUAAACAAAUCUGAGCAAGUGCUAUGUUUCUUUUUAAACAAAACCCCACAACUCAGGCUAUGCAGUUUGCUGAAUUGAAAUAAUUGUGACCAGUAAAUAUUCCAUCUGUAUGUAUGCAUUCAUUCAUCUACCUUUGUGUGUGUGCUGACAUGUGUUUAAAUUCUUCAUUGCAAGGGGUGGGGGAACUGUUUUGGAAAUAUUUACCAAAACCGAUCAAAGCCCCAUAGGAGUACAUUUAUAAUCUGUUUAUAUCUAUCUGAUCCUUUCCCUACGGAGUUCAGUGUUUAUAGCUGUUUUUAGGGGGCACGGGGGGCUGCAGGGAGAGGAGAGGAUGGACAACUUCUAUCCCAUGAAUUUCCUUAAGCUAACACAUCUUAGGAUCCAAACCCAGUGCUUUUUUCCUUAAAAAAAUGUUUAGGGGUACUCUCAUUUUCCUACUCAUACUGAAAUACUGCCCCUCAAAGACGCCAAACCUAGAUUCACAAAAUGUUUAGGGGUAUGCGUACCCCUGCAGGGUCCUUAUAAUAAAGCUAUUACAUACAAUCAUGCCAUGUUAUAACAGAAUAACAGGCAGGGGAGGAUGCUUGUAUAGUCAUGCCAAGUUUGUUAAGGCUGUUCCCACAAGCUUUUCUAUUUAGUAGAAUCAAGAUAUAUAUAUAUUCAUGCAUGAUGCAUUAAUUAUAUGUAUUGGAUACCUCAGACAUAUAUAUAUAAAAGACUCAAAAGUCACAUCACACAAUGUGAGCUUAAAUGAUAGUAAUACGUUUAAGGUAGAGAGCUUGUUGACCUUUAUGAAUUCAGCCGCUAAGGCAGUUGAUAAGAAAGAGAUGUUUCAUUAAAACUGAAUUGUAGUGUUCUCCUCCCUCCCUCCCUCCCUCCCUCUCUCUUUGUACCUUAAAUCUUUACUAGCUCCAUUUUGUAAUAUUAAAAUCAUUUACAUGAAUGAUUAUGGGUCUUGUCCUUAAACGGUUGCCCAUUGCCCUAAAGAAAAUGUUUAUGACCUGAGCAGAAUAAUUAUAUUCUCCUAUUAAAUAUCACUCCUUCAGGCCUAGUUAUUGUUGAGGGUAAAUGUGCCACUUUAUAUGCAAAUAAAAUGCAGUGAGAGUCAAAUAAAAAGUUCUGCAUACAUCUACUGACAAAUCAUCUUAUUAUGUUUUACAUUAACUGACAGAACAUCUAGUGGGAUGAAAUGUUAAUAGAGUUCAACAGGAUGUUCCGUAUUGCUUUGCUCACAUGAAAUCUUAGUUAUGUGGAAGCCAUGGUCUAUGAAGAGAGGGGAGUUUAAAUGUUGCAGACCCACCAACUCCAGUAGUCAUCAGAUCCCCUCCUCCAAACCCUGAAGUCAGCUAACCUUUUAUUUUUAUUAUUAUUAUUACCCACUCUACUCCAGUGUGGAGUAGAACAAUUAUUUAAAUUUCAUUUUAGUGCCUAUUUCUCUUAAUAUACACAUUAUACUGCAAUAUAUAUUAUGCACACAUUUUCUGUAAUACAAUGCAUUAUACAUAUAAUUUUCACAAAUGAGUGUAUCUUUAUGCACACUAAUUUAUGCAUUCUUGUACAUAUUUCUUAAUCAGAGAACUACAUACAGAACUCAGAAAGGUGGACAUUUCAAAGGAAAGCUAUGUAUUGUUUCAGGAUGUGUAAAAUAUGUAGGUGCACAUUAAAAUGUGAAGUGAACCAAAUUUCUUCCUCGUCCCUAGCUGCAGAGGGAAGGGAAUUCAGUAGAUCUCAGUCCUGGUUGGAAAAAUAGUUAGGAUUCGUCAUAAUUUUUAUUCAACAGCUGAUCAGAAACAUCUUGAUUUAUACAAAGCUCCUUCUAAUAUUGUGAAAGUGGGUUGGAGAAAAAGAAUGAUGGUCAAAUUGUUCUUUUUAGUGUGGCAGAGAGACCACUAUAUUUCACUAUAUUUCAGACGAGAGCCUUUCAUUUCAAGAUAAUGUACUGACUUAAUCACCACUUUCCAAAACACAAAGCAUCCAAUCACUUUCCCCUCCUCUUUUGUUCAUUUUUUUUAAAAAAAGAACAGUUGCUUUUCAAUCUAUCUGUGCAUGAUUUUCCACCCACUAGUCUCACCCUAUAUAUGGCAAUUCUUUUCCACUCCCACCAAGCUUAUUUUUGUAACUAUAUUGAAAUCUUAUGCAUAAUGAUGGAAGGGUUGCUAUGGAGAUUGUGUGUGAUUUGUCAUGAGGAAAAUCUAUUGUGUUUGAGAUCAUUCUCCACAUUAAUGACCUGAGAAUCUUUUUGCUUUCAUCCUCAGGGGAUUAGGAAGGGGGGGAACCACCUACAUAGAUAUCAAGCCCUACAAACAAAAUAAAACCUUAUGACCAUCAAUGGGUGUUAACAGAAUCAUAGAAUUGCAGAGUUGUAAAGGGGUCAUCUAGUCCAACCCCCUGAAAUGCAGGAAUGUCAACUAGAUCAUACAUGACAGAUGGCCAUCCAACCUCUGCUUGAAAACCUCCAAUCACCAUCAUUUUUAGAAGAGUCCACUGCCUCUUGUGGGAAUAGGUUCCACUGUCAUACAGCUUUUACCACCAGAAAGUUCUUUUCCUGUAACUUGAAUCCAUUGAUUCAAGUCCUAGCCUCUGCAGGAGAAAACCAGCUUGCUCCAUCAUCCAUGUGACAGCCCUUUAGAUAUUUGAAGAUGGCUAUCAAAUCUCCUCUCAGUCACCUCUUUUCCAUGCUAAACAUACCUGAUUCCCUCAACUGCUCCUCAUAAGGCUUGUUUUCCGGACCCUUGAUCAUCCUGGUCACCCUCCUCUACACAAGUUCCAGCUUGUCAAUAUCCUUCUUAAACUGUGCUGCCCAGAACUGGACACGGUACUCUAGGUAUGGUCUGACCAAGGCAGAAUGGAGUGGUACUAUUACUUCCCUUGAUCUGGACACUAUAUUUCUGUUGAUGCAGUCUAGAACAGCAUUCAAUUUUUUUAUAUUUUUUGCUGCUGCAUCACGCUGUUGACUCAUAGUAAGCUUGAGGUCUACUAAGACCCCUAGAUCCUUUUCACAUCUUUACAAUCCAAGUGUACUCCAUCUUAUAUGUGUGCUGCUGGUUCUUCCAGCACACAGAGGCUAAUACUAUCACUCACAGAUGGUAUAUAAUUAAGCACAUUUAAGAGUCUGUGGUCUCAUGAAUCCUGUAUAAGAAAAAUUUUAAGUGUCUUCGCAAUUAAUUAUUUUCUCCUCUUGAAAUAUCCUGAAACACUGCAAUUAAACUGGUAUGCAUCUACUUAAGGUAACAAUCUCAAUCUAUAUAUAUGUAGUAGUUAGAAAACUCUAAUAUACAAUGUCUUCAAUCCAUGCUGCAUUUGCUAUAGAUAGAUAUAUAGAUGAUAUAGAUAUAGAUAUAUUGAUUACUGCAUGCCACUCAGAAGCAAUUCAGGCUAUCCAGUUUGCACCAAACUAUAGCUAAAAGCUUAGCUUCAGAUUACAACAAGGUGGCAUUUCUCCCAUACCCUACACACCAGCUGAGGCUCAGGAAAAUCUAAGAGAAAAUGCAUAUUAACUGCUUAGAAGCUCCAAGUUUUCAAGGGUGACCAUAGCUUUCUCAAGAGACUGAAGUCAAUCCCUUAAAGAGAAAGAUAAUAACAUGGAAGGGAGUUUCCGAACACGGAAAGAUACAGUGGUACCUCGGGUUAAGAACUUAAUUCAUUCCGGAGGUCCAUUCUUAACCUGAAACUGUUCUUAAUCUGAAGCACCACUUUAGUUAAUGGGGCCUCCUGCUGUCACCAUGCUGCCGCUGCACGAUUUCUGUUCUCAUCCUGAAGCAAAUUUCUUAACCCAAGGUACUAUUUCUAGGUUAGCAGAGUCUGUAACCUGAAGCGUCUGUAACCUGAGGUACCACUGUAUAUGAACUGGAACAUUACAGCUGUCCACUUCAGCUAGUGAGAAGUCAAACGUUUAGGAUCCAUUUAAUAAUGCAAAAGCUAUGUCCAGCUCAGACUACAUAAGCAUUCUCUAAAAUAGCCAACUGUUUUAUGGUAUACUUCUUGUUGAUGCACAACAGUCUCCAUGGCAAGAAAAAGACAAUGGGCUAGAUCAAAACUAAGUUAGUUAACUUGGCCCACUAAUUUCAUUGGGAUCCUAGUUUGCCUAAUCAAGAUCUAACCUAAUAGAUGUGUUUGUUUAUUUGAAUGCAUAUUACACUCUUACUCAAUGGGCUCAGGGAGCUUAUUUCAUUUUCAUUAAUUUUAAAUAUAAUAAAAGAUUUCAAAUAAAAAUACUUUAAUUAAUUUCAGACCGGAAGCCAUAUUAGCCUGAUAUAGGGAGGAAAAAGCAAUACAGAUUCUGGUGAACCUUAGAAAAUUAAUAGACUUACUGUGGCUUAAGCUUAAAUGUUCCAAAAUCCACUUCGUCUGUUGCAAAUUUGCUUUACGAAGAGUACUCUAAAUUAUAGAAGUAAAAAGGUAAAGGGACCCCUGACCAUGAGGUCCAGUCGUGACCGACACUGGGGUUGCAGUGCUCAUCUCGCUUUACUGGCCGAGGGAGCCGGCAUACAGCUUCCGGGUCAUGUGUCCAGCAUGACUAAGCCGCUUCUGGUGAACCAGAGCAGCGCAUGGAAACGCCGUUUACCUUCCCACCGGAGCAGUACCUAUUUAUCUACUUGCACUUUGAUGUGCUUUCGAACUGCUAAGUUGGCAGGAGCGGGGACCGAGCAACGGGAGCUCACCUCGUUGCGGGGAUUUGCGGCAAGUCCUAGGCUCUGUGGUUUAACCCACAGCGCCACCCGCGUCCCUAUAGAUUAUAGAAGUAUUACUCUUUAAAAGUACUGUACAAGACACUCUAACAUUUGAACAUUUCUAUUCCCCUUGAGUUCUACUAUUCCCUUUCAUCCUCCUGAAUACAUAUUCUAUAAAUUAAAUAUUGUAGUCAAUGAAAUAAAUUUGUAAUUACGGUAAAUAUCCUUCCUUCAAUUAAUUUAUUAAUGUUGCAGUGUCUACACCAGCCUUCCUCCAACAGUUGCCCUCCAGAUCCUUCUGGAUAUCAUUUCCCCUCAUCCCUGACCUUUGGGCAUGCUUGCUGUGGUUGAUGGGAGUUGGAGUCCAACAGCAUCUGAAGAUCACCAAGUUGGGGAAGUCUGCUCUAUAUAAACUAGAUGCAUCUGUCAAAGUGGCUCUAGCCAGCAAAAGCAUAUGACAUGAUGAUUUGUUAGUAUUUUAAGUAAAGUGCCACAGGACUCUGUUGUUUUGCUGCAGCACAGAUUAACACUAAUUAUAUUUGGAGGAAAAUUUAGAUUAGCACUGCUACUCUUCUCGAACUUUUCCUAGAAUAUUUUUUUAGGCACUGAUGGCAUUUCAGCUUUGUUAUAAAAACAUUAAGUGAAUAGCAUUCAUGAUUGCAGAGAUAACCCUGAAGAUCUGUGCCCUAACAAACAUUUCAUAAAUAUGACUAUGGCUGCAACCCUUAACCCACCGACCUGGGAAUAAAUCCCACUGAAGUCAACCCCAUGCUGAGUAGGCAUGCAUAGGAUUUACAAUAUAAAUGAAUGGCUACAGCCAGUAGGUGACAUUUUACAGGUACACAAAUAUCUGUGAACUGGAAUUGGGAUGCUACUGCAGUGGGAUCAGUGGGCAUAAAUUAAAGAGAAACAUAGGCACAUACAGUCUGCCUUCUCCCUCCCAACAGCAACAAAUCAUAUAGUCAUAUAACAAAAAGGAAGGCAGAAAUAAAUAAAUAAAAACACCCAAUAAAUCAGGAAACAUAAAAUAUACAACUAAAAGGACAAAAAAUAAAAAAUAAAAAUAAAUCCAGAAAACAGAAAAAAAAAAGUUAGGCCAGUUCCAUUUCAAAUUUGUGUCUUUAAGAAUACAAUCUUUAAGAUACAGUUAUAUAUAUCUGUUAGAAUGUAACCAUCCACUCAGUCAAAGGUAAAUGUUUCAAGUCUCCAUUGCUGUAGGCAGUCUCUGUGUCCCAUUCACAAAAAAGCUCGCCCGCAGAAAUCGGAAGCUGACUUCCUGUUUUGCUUCCGUUUCGCCAAAUUAACUUUUUAGCUUCUAAUUUUAAUUUUAAAUGUUUUGACAUUUAUCUCUAAUUGGAAGAUCUACUGCUUCUGGUGACAGAUCAUAGCUUCGGCAGCAGGCUGCAUUGGUGUCGAGAGUGAACUCAAGCCUCUUCC
Podarcis lilfordi (Lilford's wall lizard) is the source of this 25964-nucleotide non-coding RNA. The record is from the annotation of a GenBank genome assembly. NCBI's taxonomy places the organism in Eukaryota, Metazoa, Chordata, Lepidosauria, Squamata, Lacertidae.